GUUCAAUCGGCCCUUUUUCGCUAGGGGAAAGAUGUGCUAGCCGAAAAUCAGGUUGAAAUGAAAGUCCCAAGAGAGCGGGAAGAAAGAUUGAAGCUUAGACCAGGCUCAAUUCCUCCCGUCAACAUUGCCAUUUCCUACCCAAGAAUUUACGAUCAGGAUGGCAUUGGUCUCUCACGUGACUGAACCGAGUUAGAAUGAAAAUGCACCACCAUCAACUGAUCCACAUGAGGCAACUGCAGUUCUGUCUAAGCAUCGUAAACAAGGUCCCUUAUGAAACCAUUUCCAACUCCAAAAACCAUAGCUAUUUACAUACAUGGAUGACAACUCGAAAACCAAAAUACGUCAUAAAAGAGCCUGGAGCCAAUUGGGGAACGCAAGGAAAAGAGUCGCCCCAUGGAAAUCGAAUUUGCAUACACCAAACUCAUCUAGAGAGUGAUAAGUGCAUUUUCUAAGAACUUUUUCGCAAAGCUCGUCCCAUUCCUGAUCCGAGGAGCCUACUCGGCAAUCUUGAAUCUCGGCCUGAACAUCUUUCAAAGCCGCUAGUAUCUCUUCCACGAUCACAGAGAUGUUUGCUCCAUUGAACCAAUUGUGAU
Long non-coding RNA from Tigriopus californicus, 593 nucleotides. RefSeq lists it as uncharacterized. NCBI's taxonomy places the organism in Eukaryota, Metazoa, Arthropoda, Copepoda, Harpacticoida, Harpacticidae. The record is from RefSeq and is a predicted model, not a curated record. The transcript is spliced from 3 exons.